This 73-nucleotide transfer RNA is filed under the name Stegodyphus mimosarum. RNAcentral describes it as "tRNA-Thr for anticodon UGU". It matches the Rfam family "tRNA". From Rfam's summary of the family: Transfer RNA (tRNA) molecules are approximately 80 nucleotides in length. The record is from Rfam by way of RNAcentral. Lineage: Eukaryota; Metazoa; Arthropoda; Arachnida; Araneae; Eresidae.
GCCUUCGUGGUGUAGUGGUCAGCACGCUCGACGUGUAUUCGAGAGGUCCGUGGUUCGAGUCCUGGCGAAGGCG